CCCGCCUGCCCAGUGACUAAUUUCAACGGCCGCGGUAUCAUGACCGUGCAAAGGUAGCGUAAUCACUUGUCUUUUAAAUAAAGACCUGUAUGAAAGGCAAAACGAAAGUUCAACUGUCUCUUUAAUCCAAUCAGUGAAAUUUAUCUUUUCGUGCAGAAGCGAAAAUAAGAAUAUAAGACGAGAAGACCCUAUGGAGCUUUAAACACACUACUAACUAUUCUACAAUAUUUUAACCAAUAGGCAAAACCAUAAACCACAUAGCCAUAGUAUAAGUUUUGGGUUGGGGCGACCACGAAGAAAAAAAAAUCCUUCGAGAUAAAUAAUUUAGAACAACAAUUCAAAAAUUAAAACAUUUAUUAUAAAUGAUCCACUAAGUGACCAACGAACCAAGUUACCCUAGGGAUAACAGCGCAAUCCUUUCUAAGAGUCCAUAUCGACGAAUGGGUUUACGACCUCGAUGUUGGAUCAGGACACCCAAAUGGUGCAGCAGCUAUUAAAGGUUCGUUUGUUCAACGAUUAAAGUCCUAC
RNAcentral lists this ribosomal RNA (528 nucleotides) under Echinotriton maxiquadratus (Mountain spiny newt). Its description in RNAcentral is "partial large subunit ribosomal RNA". It matches the Rfam family "Bacterial large subunit ribosomal RNA", at positions 1854 to 2599 of the family's 2925-position model. The record is from RNAcentral. Lineage: Eukaryota; Metazoa; Chordata; Amphibia; Caudata; Salamandridae.